AGCUAGAGUUUGAUCCUGGCUCGGAGCGAACGCUGGCGGCAGGCCUAAUACAUGCAAGUCGAGCGCCGUAGCAAUACGGAGCGGCAGACGGGAGAGUAACACGUGGGAACGUGCCCUUCAGUUCGGAACAACCCAGGGAAACUUGGGCUAAUACCGGAUACGUCCGUAAGGAGAAAGAUUUAUCGCUGAAGGAUCGGCCCGCGUCUGAUUAGCUAGUUGGUGGGGUAAUGGCCCACCAAGGCGACGAUCAGUAGCUGGUCUGAGAGGAUGGCCAGCCACACUGGAACUGAGACACGGUCCAGACUCCUACGGGAGGCAGCAGUGGGGAAUCUUGCACAAUGGGCGAAAGCCUGAUGCAGCGACGCCGCGUGGGGGAUGAAGCUUCUCGGAGUGUAAACCCCUUUCGACCCGGACGAAUGCCCCGCAAGGGGACUGACGGUACGGGUAUAAGAAGCCCCGGCUAACUACGUGCCAGCAGCCGCGGUA
This 486-nucleotide ribosomal RNA is filed under the name uncultured bacterium. Its description in RNAcentral is "bacterial SSU rRNA". It matches the Rfam family "Bacterial small subunit ribosomal RNA", at positions 1 to 522 of the family's 1533-position model. The record is from RNAcentral.